UCCUACGGGAGGCAGCAGUGAGGAAUAUUGGUCAAUGGAGGCAACUCUGAACCAGCCAUGCCGCGUGAAGGAUGACGGCCCUAUGGGUUGUAAACUUCUUUUAUAGAGGAAGAAACUUAUCUACGUGUAGAUAACUGACGGUACCCUACGAAUAAGGAUCGGCUAACUCCGUGCCAGCGCCGCGGUAAUACGGAGGAUCCAAGCGUUAUCCGGAUUCAUUGGGUUUAAAGGGUCCGUAGGCGGGUCUUUAAGUCAGUGGUGAAAGCCGACAGCUCAACUGUCGAACUGCCAUUGAUACUGGAGAUCUUGAGUACAAAUGAAGUAGGCGGAAUGAGUCAUGUAGCGGUGAAAUGCAUAGAUAUGACUCAGAACACCGAUUGCGAAGGCAGCUUACUAACAUGUAACUGACGCUGAGGGACGAAAGCGUGGGGAGCGAACAGGAUUAGAUACCCUGGUAGUCCACGCCGUAAACGAUCAUCACUCGCUGUUGGCGAUAUACUGUCAGCGGCCAAGCGAAAGUA
RNAcentral lists this ribosomal RNA (521 nucleotides) under uncultured bacterium. RNAcentral describes it as "bacterial SSU rRNA". It matches the Rfam family "Bacterial small subunit ribosomal RNA", at positions 337 to 859 of the family's 1533-position model. The record is from RNAcentral.